RNAcentral lists this long non-coding RNA (569 nucleotides) under Mus musculus (house mouse). RNAcentral describes it as "predicted gene, 35164". Lineage: Eukaryota; Metazoa; Chordata; Mammalia; Rodentia; Muridae. The record is from RNAcentral.
GUGAGACCUUUCUGCCUAGCUCUAGCUCAUGGUUGUUAUCCUGUCCUCACUCUUCCUGGGCUUAGCAGAGGUCAUGUUCUUGCUUGUGCUUUCUGCUAAGUGAGACAAGACCUUCAUGCCUUCCUCUCCAGCUUCUCAGUAGAGGCAUGCAGAACAUACCCAAUGUCACAAACAAACCUCGAGUGGGCAAGCAAGAAGCCAGGAAUCAGAUGCUGGCUUGAAUCCAGAGGCUGAUGUGGGCCCAAAACCUGCCUGAAAAAUGGAACAAAGGGAAGACAUUGGCCUAAGAGAACACAAGAGAUGCUGCUAAGGUAAUUGUCUGGGUGGUGUGAGGGCCCAGGAACAGAGCAGACACAGAAGGAGGGUGCUUGAAUGUGGGUCCCUGAAGGUGUCAGGCUCUGUGCUUACAAAUGGAGCCCCGGGGUCAGGAAGGGAGGAAGGAACAGUCCCUGAGGCCUUAGAUGGAGGGGUCAGUUUGUGGGGCACCCAUGUCUUUGCCUGUGAAUAGAGAGGGAGUUGUUAAAGGCGCCAAGCUGAUUCGGACAAAUAAAGAUUUCUUUCUGAGGCUC